RNAcentral lists this ribosomal RNA (253 nucleotides) under uncultured bacterium. RNAcentral describes it as "partial 16S ribosomal RNA". It matches the Rfam family "Bacterial small subunit ribosomal RNA", at positions 524 to 776 of the family's 1533-position model. The record is from RNAcentral.
UACGAGUGCCCCGAGCGUUAUCCGGAAUUAUUGGGCGUAAAGCGUGUGUAGGCGGCCGCGUCAGUCCUCCGUUAAAACCCCGGGCUCAACCCGGGACCGGCGGGGGAGACGUCGCGGCUCGAGGACGGGAGAGGUGCAUGGAACUCACAGUGUAGGGGUGAAAUCCGUUGAUAUUGUGGGGAACACCGAAUGCGAAGGCAGUGCACUGGCCCGUUUCUGACGCUGAGACACGAAAGCGUGGGUAGCGAAUGGG